Molecule: ribosomal RNA, 497 nt
Filed under: uncultured bacterium
Lineage: Bacteria
Description: partial 16S ribosomal RNA
Rfam family: Bacterial small subunit ribosomal RNA
Source: RNAcentral
AAUGAACGCUGGCGGCAUGCCUAACACAUGCAAGUCGAGCGACCAGACAGGGAGCUUGCUCCCCUGAGGUUAGCGGGUGGCGGGUGAGUAACUCGUUCAUAACAACCCUCUUAGACUGGGGUAACUACGGGAUACCGCUUACACUACUAGCUCAUAUCUCCAACCGCUUGGUUCACUAGUUCUUCGCUGUUUUGCUGUCUCACUUAGCUGCAUCCGGGCCGCAUUAGCUAGUUGGUAAAGGAACGGCUUACCAACGCGACGAUGCGUAGCCGACCUGAGAGGGUGAUCAGCCACACUGGAACUGAGAAACGGUCCAGACUCCUAAGGGAGGCAGCAGUAGGGAAUAUUCCGCAAUGGGCGAAAGCGUGAUGGAGCAACACCGCGUGAGUGAUGAAGGUCUUCGGAUGGUAAAGCGCUGUUGUUAGGAAAGAACAAAAGUGGAAUUAUCCAGGAAUGUCUUGACGGUACCUAAAGAAUAAGCCACGGCUAACUUCGUG